RNAcentral lists this ribosomal RNA (440 nucleotides) under uncultured bacterium. RNAcentral describes it as "partial 16S ribosomal RNA". It matches the Rfam family "Bacterial small subunit ribosomal RNA", at positions 338 to 795 of the family's 1533-position model. The record is from RNAcentral.
CCUACGGGAGGCAGCAGUGGGGAAUAUUGCACAAUGGGGGAAACCCUGAUGCAGCGACGCCGCGUGAGUGAAGAAGUAUUUCGGUACGUAAAGCUCUAUCAACAGGGAAGAAAAUGACGGUACCUGACUAAGAAGCACCGGCUAACUACGUGCCAGCAGCCGCGGUAAUACGUAGGGGGCAAGCGUUAUCCGGAUUUACUGGGUGUAAAGGGAGCGUAGACGGCAGCGCAAGUCUGGAGUGAAAUCCCAUGGCUUAACCAUGGAACUGCUUUGGAAACUGUGCAGCUAGAGUGCAGGAGAGGUAAGCGGAAUUCCUAGUGUAGCGGUGAAAUGCGUAGAUAUUAGGAGGAACACCAGUGGCGAAGGCGGCUUACUGGACUGUAACUGACGUUGAGGCUCGAAAGCGUGGGGAGCAAACAGGAUUAGAUACCCCAGUAGUC